CAGUAGCCGCGGGAAUACGUAGGGUGCAAGCGUUAAUCGGAAUUACUGGGCGUAAAGCGUGCGCAGGCGGUUAUAUAAGACAGAUGUGAAAUCCCCGGGCUCAACCUGGGAACUGCAUUUGUGACUGUAUAGCUAGAGUACGGCAGAGGGGGAUGGAAUUCCGCGUGUAGCAGUGAAAUGCGUAGAUAUGCGGAGGAACACCGAUGGCGAAGGCAAUCCCCUGGGCCUGUACUGACGCUCAUGCACGAAAGCGUGGGGAGCAAACAGGAUUAGAGAACCCCGUAGUCCCUGUCUCUUAUAC
RNAcentral lists this ribosomal RNA (301 nucleotides) under uncultured bacterium. Its description in RNAcentral is "partial 16S ribosomal RNA". It matches the Rfam family "Bacterial small subunit ribosomal RNA", at positions 509 to 807 of the family's 1533-position model. The record is from RNAcentral.